Molecule: long non-coding RNA, 289 nt
Filed under: Brassica napus (rape)
Lineage: Eukaryota; Viridiplantae; Streptophyta; Magnoliopsida; Brassicales; Brassicaceae
Description: long non-coding RNA (BNAP_LNC026013)
Source: RNAcentral
CCUACGGUCUGAUGUGGACUUAGUUUGGUAGCGUUGGAGUUGGCGCUUUGUGUGGUGGAGUUAGCCAUCGUGUGUAGCUCUUGUGAGCUUUGUGUGUGCUUGGGUGAUCAAGCGUUUUGGUGUGUCCGUUGAGGUGUGGUGACCAAGUUAUGCGUUGGUGUGAUGUGCUCGUUGGUAUAUGUGGUGUGCGUCUGGUGUUGACUUACUCGGUGACGUACUUGGUGAAGUACUCGGUGACGUACUUGGUGAAGUACAUGGUGAUGUACCUUCAGAGACUUGGAGGUUGAAG